Molecule: ribosomal RNA, 497 nt
Filed under: uncultured bacterium
Lineage: Bacteria
Description: partial 16S ribosomal RNA
Rfam family: Bacterial small subunit ribosomal RNA
Source: RNAcentral
GAUGAACGCUGGCGGCGUGCCUAAUACAUGCAAGUCGAGCGAACGGACGAGAAGCUUGCUUCUCUGAUGUUAGCGGCGGACGGGUGAGUAACACGUGGAUAACCUACCUAUAAGACUGGGAUAACUUCGGGAAACCGUAGCUAAUACCGGAUAAUAUUUUGAACCGCAUGGUUCAAAAGUGAAAGACGGUCUUGCUGUCACUUAUAGAUGGAUCCGCGCUGCAUUAGCUAGUUGGUAAGGUCACGGCUUACCAAGGCAACGAUGCAUAGCCGACCUGAGAGGGUGAUCGGCCACACUGGAACUGAGACACGGUCCAGACUCCUACGGGAGGCAGCAGUAGGGAAUCUUCCGCAAUGGGCGAAAGCCUGACGGAGCAACGCCGCGUGAGUGAUGAAGGUCUUCGGAUCGUAAAACUCUGUUAUUAGGGAAGAACAUAUGUGUAAGUAACUGUGCACAUCUUGACGGUACCUAAUCAGAAAGCCACGGCUAACUACGUG